UACGUAGGGUGCAAGCGUUGUCCGGAAUUAUUGGGCGUAAAGAGUUCGUAGGCGGUUUGUCGCGUCCGUUGUGAAAGCUUGGGGCUCAACCCCAAGCCUGCAGUGGAUACGGGCAGACUAGAGUCAGGUAGGGGAGAACGGAAUUCCUGGUGUAGCGGUGAAAUGCGCAGAUAUCAGGAGGAACACCGGUGGCGAAGGCGGUUCUCUGGGCCUGUACUGACGCUGAGGAACGAAAGCGUGGGGAGCGAACAGG
RNAcentral lists this ribosomal RNA (253 nucleotides) under uncultured bacterium. RNAcentral's name for it is "partial 16S ribosomal RNA". It matches the Rfam family "Bacterial small subunit ribosomal RNA", at positions 524 to 776 of the family's 1533-position model. The record is from RNAcentral.